This 481-nucleotide ribosomal RNA is filed under the name uncultured bacterium. RNAcentral's name for it is "partial 16S ribosomal RNA". It matches the Rfam family "Bacterial small subunit ribosomal RNA", at positions 30 to 507 of the family's 1533-position model. The record is from RNAcentral.
AUUGAACGCUGGCGGCAUGCCUACACCUGCCAGUCGCACGGUAACGGGCCUUCGGGUGCCGACGAGUGGCGAACGGGUGAGUAAUACAUCGGAACGUGCACGAUCGUGGGGGAUAACGAGGCGAAAGCUUUGCUAAUACCGCAUACGAUCUACGGAUGAAAGCAGGGGACCGCAAGGCCUUGCGCGGACGGAGCGGCCGAUGGCAGAUUAGGUAGUUGGUGGGAUAAAAGCUUACCAAGCCGACGAUCUGUAGCUGGUCUGAGAGGAUGAUCAGCCACACUGGGACUGAGACACGGCCCAGACUCCUACGGGAGGCAGCAGUGGGGAAUUUUGGACAAUGGGCGCAAGCCUGAUCCAGCCAUGCCGCGUGCAGGAUGAAGGCCUUCGGGUUGUAAACUGCUUUUGUACGGAACGAAAAGCCUUCUUUUAAUACAGGAGGGUCAUGACGGUACCGUAAGAAUAAGCACCGGCUAACUACGUG